Anopheles coluzzii is the source of this 11363-nucleotide long non-coding RNA. RefSeq lists it as uncharacterized. Lineage: Eukaryota; Metazoa; Arthropoda; Insecta; Diptera; Culicidae. The transcript has 4 exons. The record is from RefSeq and is a predicted model, not a curated record.
ACUUACUACUCCAAGGCUUGCUAGUCAGCGCUAGUGGAAGAUCGUUGACACUAGCGAUAUUUUCUUCACUGAAAGAUGACUAAUUCUCAGCUUUGGAAACUUCUCAUCGACACUAUUUCACAGCCCGGGCAUACUUCAUUGCGCGUGGCGUCAUCAAGUUUGCCCACUCGAUCAAGCAAAACCGGAACGGAACAGAACGGGCUCUGUGCAAAGCUCUCUUACGUCAUCAGAAUUGAUCUCUCCCUCGUGGAGCAGAGCAUGGGGAAGGUGUGAUACAUCUACGGUCCUUUUUUGGUUCCUCCGCCGAUCACUGUGAGCAACGUAUAGGCAACAAAGAAAAAACGUUUCGUGGCAAACAACACAGUUUCACAACAAAACGGGUGCAUUUGAAGGAAUGGUGUGGGAAGAGAUUGAACUGCAAAAUCCCUCAACAUGUCGCAAACACGAUGGCACACCAAGCCGGCACCACCGUCCAAUACGGCCAAAGCCACAUGGGCUUUGAAAACCGGUUUUGCAUCAUAUAUUUAUGCAUUCCCCGUGCCUUUACGUGUCUCUUCUAACCGAGCCCAAUAGCCUCACUCUACCACCACCAGGCCGAGUAGUCCCAAAUCCAAAACCAGUCGCGUAGAUAUGCCUGACCACCAUAUCUUCAACUGAAUGCCGGCCGUCGAUUGCUUCCCCCCCAACGAUCAAGUCGACCCGCUCUCUUUCGGACACCUUCCGAUUUAUCAUCCACACGCCUGAAAGGUGCGUCCUUAGCGUGCAAAUGGAAUCGCGAAACACUUGCAAGCGCGAUCACUUGCUCUAGCCUCCGGCGGCGGCAAAUCUUGUUUUCGAUCGUGGUGUGUCAUUCGAACAUUGGCCAGCUUCGGGCAUGAUGACGUUUACAUCUGGUGGUGGUGGGUAGCGUUAUUUUGUUUAUUUUCGUUACCCAGUGCAAUAAAACAUUCGGUCAUGGUCGUGUCGUACGCUCUCCACUCGGACUAUACCACCAUCGUGACACGCUGUUUAACCUCCCAGAAGGUCAGCGUUAGUCAAUAACACAUUAUUUUAUUACAUUCUAAACACUAGUUUAAAGUGUAUUCUUGGCCAUUUGAAUCCUGUAGAUUUGGUUUCUUUUGUCGAAUUCGAAAUCAAGAAUCUACAGGGUAUUUCAAAUUGUGAACAAGGUUAGCCUCAUGCGAGAACGAACCCCAAACUAGAGAUGAGAAUUUUGAUCCGAACCUACUGGGGUCGUUGUGUUUCUUGGAUAAACUAGAAAUCCUAGAAAACGAAGUGAAGCUUUAUAACUUCGAUCUGGAAUUAGGUUCAAUGGACCAACAUUAUACUUCUGAUUCUAUCCUGAUGAGAAACAGAUACGGUUCCUUUGCGUAAAAUAGGAAAUAUUCCCAUCACUAUCGUAACCCUUGAUACAAGUUAGUUAGAAGAAACGCAGAUAACAUUAAUUCCACAAAUGCCGCACAACAAGCUUCGGCAGAUUGCACUAACAGAGUAUACUGGAAUCUAAUCUACGUGCGAUUGGAAACACCAGCAACACAGGACAUUGAGCAAAACCUGUUUCAAAUUAAUUCACACCAUAACAGCGAUAAAACUGAUAAAAAAAAAAAACCGGACAGCGAACGUCUACGGUAUCGACGGUCUACGGUUUUUGCCAUAUAAUUGACGUAUUCAACUGUAAAUUGAAUUAUUUCAAAAGCUGUUUUAUCUAAUUGAUGCGGAUUUAGCCUAACAGUCGGCCUGAUAAGCAACCGGCGAUAAGGCAGACACUCUAAAUGAGAUAAGGCGUAUGUAGAGGGUUUGCUAGAGCGGUUUUGAUUCUCACAUUUCGUAACGAGCUGAUAUUACCCACUUACGUAGCCAGGCUCCUGAUAGCUCUUUGAAGAAUUGGAGGGACUUCACAAGGAGUUUAAUGUAUCUUAUCUAUCGGUAACUAUGUGGAUUCAAUCGUGUAAUUAAUCUUAAGCAUUAUGUAGCUGAUAUAGCUGAAUACGCCUUAAUGUAACAUGGCCAAAACAAUGUAAUUUUGUCACAUUGAGGCUUUCAGCAGAAUGAUACAGCAAAGUAGUAGAUAACAUUUUUAAAAGGUUUCUACCGACUAGAGACAUUUAAAACCACCGAUCUACCGCUUUUUCAGAUGAUAAUAGCUUAGAUAUCCCAGCGUUGCGAGCAUCUGCCGAUAAUGAUUUGCGAACAGACAACAUUAUUGCCACGAACUAAAGCCAACGGACGUCGUUGCUAAUGGCUUCAUUAGAGACGCUCUGUGUAGAUACAAGUGCAUCUUGAGACCAGGGGGAAGGGGCGUUUGGGCAACCUCUUCAGCUUUCGACGUUAUGGCGAGACAAACCACUUCCGCUGUAAUCACCACACGAACGGCCGAAGAGGCAGCAGCAGUAAGCAAAAUCUUCCCUGUAUCGAGGCUUACCAUGUUUGUAGGAUACCGUAUCCUCCAAUGUGAAGGAAACACGUCCCAUCUCACCCGAUGCCCGAUUACUACUAAUGAACGUUACAUUUAUGCAGUGCAGGUUUACUUCACUGCAGCAACUUCGCGUGCAUUGGUGAGUUCAUUUAAAUUCCAACCUCCAGAGCUCGUUCGGAAACAAGUUGGUUUGAUGCAACCAACUCGCGACACAGACGCACCGACCGUCCGUGCCGGUGCCACACUCUAUAGCUCUCUCUCUCUCCCUCAAUGCAUUGCUAGUUGAGUUGCAAUGCAAUGCAAACAUCGGUGGUGCAGGAGGUAGUCGGUACGCUACUGCACGUUACACCACCGAUAGUAUGUAAAUGUCGUACCCGCUGCUGGGUAUACUACCGUCGGUAAGGAAGAGAGUUGACAUUUACGUGAGGCAAUCGUAUUUGUACGUGUAUGCCGCCGCGUCAACAAUUCGCGGGGAAUACGAACUACUCAUCACCCCCCGGGAACAGUGAUCGCACUCCAAAUGUGGCACACACAUUUUUACUUUAUUGGUUUUUGUUUAGCAUUGAGUCACACCGAAUUAUUAAGUUCCGUACCAGCAAAAAACAAACAAACUUCACGAAGCAAUAAACACGUUUAGCACGAUGCACACACCAAACUGGCUUGCGUAUGGCCACGCAUCAAAAGGGAAACACACUCUUAAACACCCGCCACCACAUUGCAGCAAAACAUUGGCACCGUGACGAACUGCCCAAGAUGACACAUAAACACUUACGCGAAUGCUAAACGCUAAAAAAGCAAGCAUGCUCAACUGCGAAAGUGUAAAACGUAUGCCGUCGCAAGGAAGCGGGAGAAUCAAUAAACACUUAAAACGGGGGAGAGAUCCCAAAAACUUCAAAUAGACCAUGUACACAAGACUAUUUUGUUACCUUUUUUAUCGGCACUUUAGAACACUUUCAUACACAACACUUGUCGGGCGAACCGACGACCACGUCGACGACAGUAUCCCCCGAGUGGUUUGCAUUUCACAGUGAGAAGGGACACAACAACAUCGCCCUUGUGUUGAUGAGCAUAGAUUCUCAAGGACCAAGCACCUUUAUCAAACUUUAAACAUGUCCCCUUUUGCUAUUGUUGUUCUAGCAGUUGUUUCAAGUUUUGUAAUUAGCUCACCGAUAAGUAACUGCCCCUCCCUGUAGUUACGAUUUUCUUUGCUAAAAUGUAUUCAUUUUCAUUUCACAAAGCGAUAAAAUGUAUUCUUCCACUGAGAUAGUAAUCAAACAACAAAUAAAUCGGCUUUGAUGAGUAAUUUUCGUUGGCACCAAUGCAAUCAGCAAUUAAACGAUAAUAGCUCGCUUAAUUGCCUGUUCCUUGCACAGUACAGUGUAUAUGCAUGAGCGCCUGUAUCCACAGCGCAUCGGUAUGGCGCGGCCACGAGGCUGGUGGCCGGUCACUUAUGGGGGUAGUGUUUCAGGAGACGGGUGCAACGAUUUCUAUUAGAAUUUUACGUCCGUGUAUCAUCAUCGAGUACAUCAUCAUCGAUAGCUGAACGCAACCGUUCCAAAGCCAAACAAGAUGUUUAGAGAAACAACAAACGAGGUCAUCAAAAUGUAAAUAUAGACACACAUACACUGCGAUUCCGAAUGGAAACGUCGAUCGUUACUGCAAUGUGUGGUGCGUUUCCCACACGCUUUCGUUUUAUUCUAGCUUUUUUUAAAUAUAUUUUUCAGAUCAAUAUUUUCGAAUCAAAAUAAUAACACAAUCAACCAUAAAGCGUUGCUUGAGGUAGUAAUAGUAGUAAUAGGUAGUAGAGAACGGCACUACUUUAUCGAUCUGGUUGAAGAUAGGUAGCAUUAAUGCACGAAGAAGUGAGCAUCGGUCUGUUGUAAGAAAUUAUUCCGGCUAGGUCACCACAAAACCUCGAUAAAACAAACACACACACACAUACAUCCAUUAGCACGGCCAGUGCAUUUCAUUACAGUUGCAGGUUUGCAAACGUAAACGCAUCCCAAAAGCCAUCCACAUAACCCACCAACCAACACACCCAGCAGCGCACGUGGUGCAUUAUUAAGUGAGAAAAAGUUCUGCUGAAGGACGUCAGGCAUACACAGUAGCGUGUUUGGCUCAUUAGGAUAAAUUGCAGCUUUACAAUUAUCAGCAGUUAUGGAUGACUAAACUUAUGUUAAUGAAGUUUUUUUUUUGUUAUUGGAGUGUUUUAGGAGACGACAACGCUACAUUGCUGCAUUUUCGGUGUUUCUAACCGUUGGCGUAUUAUUGCCUGUAAAAACUAGUGUUGAGUAAAACUGAUUAAGAUCCAAGAAUUCAAUGAAUCUGAAUCUUGGUUAGAAAGAUAUAUGAAUCUCCAAAAUUCGCGCAAAUGCAAUAUUUUGAAAAUCAUAUAUGUUUAAACAUUCACGAAUCCCUGGAGAUUAAUGAAUCUUAAUGGAUUCAGCAAUGUUAUAGAUUCAUUAAUCUUUGAAGAUUAAUUAAUCUUUCGAGAUUUAUAAAUCCUUGUAGAAUCAUAAAUCUUGAGAGAUUCUUUUAUCUUUGGACAUUUAUGAAUCUUUAAAGAUUUCAAGGUCAUUGGAGGUUAGGUUCGACAUUUGAAUCCCUCAUCGCUAAAGGUUCAUAUGAAUGAAUCUCAACAAAAGAUUCAUGAAACCUAACACUAGUAACAACGUUCACUAUUAGCUUUCAAGUGUCAGAAUGUGAUUAUACAAAGCGCAGAAAGUAGAUGUGCUAUUAAUUGAUACCCUUUUCUGAAUGUUUUCGCAAGUACGAAAGAAUAGAACGGUGAAACAGAAAUUUCUAUGUCUAAUUCUAACACAUAGUUCACACAAUUACCUAGUAAAAAAAGAAGCGUAUCUGCAACUUCCUCCUGUCAUGUGGUGAUGAGUGAGUAGUAAUUACAAAUUCCACUUUCGUUACCACAUCGUGCACCAGUAUAACAAACUUUAGUCGUCUCGUUGACUUUGCUGUGAGUGUUCGGCUUGUGCAACCGAUAACAACAAAACAAGGGGGGUGAGUUUUGAAAGUGGACAAACCAUGGGUAUAAUUAACUCACUGUACCUUCCAUCCAUUGUUUGCAUACUGUUCUUUCACCUUGGGACCGGUAGUUUGCUAGAUAUUGUUGUUGCGCUGCUGAAAAUUGGCAACACGUAACCCUAAGCAGCGCAUGUAGCGCGUUAACGUAAAUCAUUUUAAAAACCAUGCGUGGCCCUCACCGCGUGCGUAAAAAAGAGUCGUUUAGUAUGAUUUUUUAUGGCAGCUAAUUUUUUGCUAGCGAAAAAUAAAACAAACAACAAUACACAUACAUCACCGCCCUGCCCAUACGUUCAAUUUCCACUGUGGAGGAGAUAUGCUUUUGAACAACCGAGCAAAUGAAGAAAUAAUUUAAAUUCCACAUGCAUCACCUACUCCAAAAAGCACCGCACAGACACACACACAAACAUACAUCCACAAAAAGUACUAAUGUUCAUGGUGUGCCUUUGUGCUCUUCACCUGCAAACACGGAAAGGCUACUCCGUACAACAACAUCAGCCACUGACCUGGAACGGGACAAAUUGAAGACGAACAAAAACUGGACGUUCUACGUACCACAACCCAAGUUUGCAUGAUGAGCCUCAACCACACCUGCCUUUAGUACCUUUUGCCAAUGUACAACGAUAAACUGAACGUUCCAGUGACUGAAACAUGAAACUAGAAACCGAAGAGCAGUGGCCGGCGAGAGAGCUUUACUGGACGAGAUACAACAAAAAUAACAACAAAAAAGAAUAACCCAGCAAGUGCCAUACCCAAUGCCCGCACCUUCCCUGCCCGUGGUCAGAGGGAAAAAUAAAACCCAUGAAUAUGUCACAAAAUGGAAUGUGGGCUCACUGGAUGGUAAUAUGCACCUAGAUGGCGCUGGUGGUGUUAGUGGUAUUGCGGUUACGUGUACGGGGCAUAGGGGGCAAAAUGGACCCCCAUUAUUAGACGGGACUAAUAAAUUCAAAAGCUCAAGAUGUAUUGAUAACAGUAUGUUAUCCAUACUAUGUCGGUUUCUAUAUCGACAGUUAUAAAAAAAAACUAUCAGAAGAAAUAUUAAUUAUGAUUCAUUAUGUUUGUGAUACCAGCAGAAAGCGCUCUAUAAAGGCCAUAUUACAUUACAGGAAUAAUUCCGGAAUUUAUCUGUCGCUGACCUCAUUUGAAAGAGAAAUUCCCUCCGCAAGUGUAUAGCACACUUGGAAUAAUGGAACGGAAUUUAAGUAAAGCAUGUCUUUCUGUUUCAAAUAACUAUUUUGUGUAGAAGCAUUCGUCUAUUUGAUAGCAAGACGUAUCCAUUAUUCGGCCGAGAUAAAAGCUGUCAAAUGCGUUUUGACGAAACAAAUCUAUUCCAAAUUCCUCAAUGUGAUAGGGUCUUAACAAAUAACUUAGAUAUAGGAUGAUCUUCUUUAAUGUAAAAGAAGGCAAUGAAUUUGAAUUCCGCUAGUACAAAUUGCGUAUUAAAGUUUUGACUACAAAUCGACCAAAAAACUAACAAUGGGGCGCUUUCCGUUUUAAGUUCGUAGCCUGAAAAUUCAGCCUGUCAUCUGUUUGCAUUGUGCAGUUUUCGAGCAGCUAUCAAAGUGGGUAUAAUAUACAGGUAGACUUAUUCCUAAGUUUAUGUAUUUAGAAGGCUGAUUUUUAUCGCUUCUGCUUCUGAAUGAAGAUUUUAAGAAUGUUUUGUGUAUUCGUCAAGCUACCAGAAAGCCUGUUAGAGCUAAAGUUUUCACGCGUCCUUUUAAAAAAUGACGUUCAAAUUUGGUUAUAAAUACAACCUAUGAGACCACCUGGUCUACAUAAACUUUGAUUCUAGAUUCACCCACCUGAUCUCUUCAAUGCACCUUGGGGUAAAUGUAAGCACACCGUGUUUUGCCAUUUUUUCGAGCAGGUACUCGAAUCUAAUUCUAGCUUUGAGGCUAGAAUAAUCAAGACUGAAAAUUGCAAGCUAGGUUUAUGUGUGGUUUUGUAUGGAGUGUUUGCAUGAUUUCAGCCUCCAACUGUCAAACUCCAUACAAAAUGCUGACUAGACUCGUGAAGGGCCUCAAUAUUCAUUUUUUCUACUUUACAUUUAAGAUUAUGAGAUGAUGUUUUCCAUUUUUUUCUUUAAUUUUAGCAAUGGUUAGCAAGAAAUUUUACUCGAAAGCCUAAAAAGGCCGGCAUAUCCGCGUAAGCCGUCACGCCAAGUAGAAAAAAGAUAUUUUUAAAUAUUAGAAUUUUAGAAGCCUUGUAAUUAUUUUAAUCCCAAAAUGAAUCGGAGAAGUACAGAAUAACGAGUCAGUUAUAUUGUUCUGAGAUAACUUAUAGCAAGGGUCGGCUGCUGGGUACUAAUAAGUCUCGAAAGCUUGUCGAACCCGGCAUGACCGCGUAAGGCCUAGGCGUAAUGGCUACCAUUGAAGAGAUAAAAUCAUAAAACUUAAAAAAAAACAUGCUUAGCAUGACCGUUUUACCCCAAGUUCCCAUACAUUAGCGUGCCGAAGAGCAACCCGUGCGACUAAAUACUCAUGAUAGACUUUACAAGUCCGUUACUACCGAAGGGUGAGGGGGAAGUGGGGACAACCAAUAGCACAAUCCGUCACGCGAAACCACCACCGCCCGAUGUAAUGUGCUGGGCGGCCUGACAUUAUCACCAUCGUGCACUGGAGAUUGGGGAGGAUGGCAAAAAUCGUGGUGCCCGGUAACCGCCCGCGAUUGCGAGAGAUCGCAAGCCAAACAAUCGCGCGUAUGACAUUUGUCGCGUCCGCUCUCUCACGUUAACUGGGCGACACACAACACUCUGCCGCUCUUAACUGAUUGGUUACAUCGGUUGUGCGCGCGCGCCCGCGCUUUGUCAAUCAGUUUGCGCUUCGCUUCAUCGCCCACCGCCGCACCAAAGCCCUUCCAAUUCCAAUGGGGUAAAGCUUCACGGUACCUCCACGCGGCGCAAGUGCAAUUACGUGCGAGGGUAAGGGUAGCGUUGUACGCCGCCGUGCGAUUUCGCGCGAUUUUAAAUCUGUGGAAUGUGCGCGCACCACUCUCGUUGACAGUAUAGAGAGCGUGUACACGACAGCGUUUAACGAUCGCCGCCGGGUGGCACCCGACAGACACACACACGCUACACACAAAAGGCUUCUGAUUAAUUAUCUCUUUCUAGCGCAGCUUUGGCGGAUGGAAUGACGUCCGUUUGGGCCGCCCGAUGACGUUCGCUUUUACAAUCGGACACACUUAUUGUGCACACAACCGCAUCGAAAAAGUAUUACUAAGUCAGCUAUUUUAAUUGAUCUUACCGCGUGGAACCCUCCCCCUUGGCCGUACCACAGGCUAUCGCAGCACGAAGCGUAGAUUUAGCUAAAAGUUUCUAAGCUCUGAGCUAAAAACCGGCACACAAACGUGUACCACCCAUCUCCUCUCAUACACGUCGAUCCUUAAUUUAUGUCCCCGUAAUUGUUGGCAACCAAAGUACGAUUUUAAAAGUGAAGGAAAAAAGAAGUUCAGAAAAUAAUUCACCUGUACAGAACCAACCGGGCAUAUAUUGCCACCUUACAAGCACACCCAGUUGUUCCUCCGAUGCUGUUUACAUCCGAUCCGAGCAGCUUGGAGCAACAAAGCGCACACAACCAGCAUGACACGCAUUGCUCUGCUUAGUUUCACGUACCCCUUCCCCGCUACAUCCAACCCUCCCCUUCUCGUUACAAACGACGACCCACACAUAAGGAUAACAAAUUUGUAAUUUAAAUCCCAAGCUUCGCUAAUAUUUGUCCGAUAAAUCAACUGCCGGGUGUACGAGAACCAGCUUACCCCCCGGCCGAACCGGACACUAACGGGGGUUCACGUUAAUAUGUGUAUACGGGCCAGUUAAAGUAAAGAUGUUCACUCGGGCGUUUGUGUGUGUGGUUCAUUUUUUUGCGCAAAGCUACGCCCUCCAUUAUCCACCGACUAUAAAUACAGUGUAAACCACCCGCGGCGCGGCGGUCCACUAUAGGCCGGGAAACUAAACGUCAAAACAAAAUGGACGUUUGCGCACCCUCGGCUCGACGCGACCUACGCAACAGGAGCGGGAGUCCCCCACUGGCCACCACAGCACCGCAAAAUCCAAAGAAGCGAGUUGAAAAUACCUUUCGCUAUCGUUUCAAUAAACCUCCAGAAUAGAACACCAACGCGUAUAGGGAAGAUCGUCUCGUCCCGGAGUGCGGAGGAGGAGAUAAUUUGGACUUGAAACCAAGAGCGCGAAAAGCGAAAAGAUCGUAAAUCGUGCAAACCCUACCUUCACGUCGGUUUUGUUGCAGGUGGUGAUAGGGCGGCUGCUCUAGUGCGGAGGUUUUUGUUCGCAACUGUGUGUGCGCGCACAUCUGUGCGCCAUUCGUUAAGUCCUGCGAUCGCAAACGGUUCCCAAACACCAGCACACGGCUCAUCCUCUAAAACCGGCGGGAGACCCACCGCUAACCGCGAGUCGUCGACCUUACGCACCAGCGUGCCGGGCGUACGUGCCGCUGUACAAUUCACCAUUCGGAUUCUUCACCCAUAAAAACCGCGAUUUCAGUCUGCUGUUCGUGCGUGUGUGAGUUUCUUGGCUUUGUAGUCUAGAAAUUGGAGGAAAUACGGCAAGACAGCAAUGCGAUCUUCGGUUCGUGUCCAGAAAUAGGACUGUGGACGACUUUCGGUACAUAUCAUGCUGUACAAAAAGCGGUAGGUAUCUUCUUCACACACCGUGUGUCUCCAUCGAGUCACGACCUAUUCCAUCUAUUCCACCGGACGACACACAGUUUAAUGCUUCCGACUGUUCCGAAAAUCACAUUAGCAAGAUGAUCGGUUUUAUAGCAAUUUACAAGUUUAAAGGGCUUGUCAUCGGAGAACUUAUGUCUACCUAUAUAUAGAAUCAUACAUUGAGCUCGAAUGCUCGACUGGUAAUGAUCCUAACUUACUCCUUCUCAUUUCCUAGCCGUUUUAGCUGCUCUAGCCGAGCGAUAGACGUAUACCUUUAAUUCUCACCCCUUGUUUGAUAGAAUUUCCGCGUUACCUGUGAGUUAGGCCAGUGUUUCAGGCCUUCAUCAAUGUCCAACUCGUCGCAAUCUUGAUCCAUACGUUUUAUCGGUUGGGGGAAAAGGGUUACGCGACAGUGAAUUCCCCAAUGUGCACCGACUCGGAUGUUCUAUCCUCGUGACUCGGAGUCGCCCCGUAGCGGAUCGAUAUAGAUGAAUGUUUAUUAAACUGGUCGAGGUUACACCGAUUGUUUAUCGAAAAUCCAACCACCGUGUGCUAGAUAGGCAAAGCCGAACCUGCCAGAAAAAAGCGAUAGUAUUGGUACCCACACCAUGCCAAUGGCUUCCAACCUCGCUUCAAGGUUUCUCCGCCACACGACGUUUGGGAAAUUUUAUUGGAUGGCCACCUCCGGUACCACCUUUGCGCACCGUACCGUGAUCUACCACCCCCCGUCAUGUGAGUACAGCACAACAGCGCGCCUGUACUAGAUGGCAGGAUUUGGCAGCAGUUUCGAUGUACGGGAAAGAAUAAACAUUCGCAAUUUCCUCGCACCUAAUCGGGGCGGGGUGUUGUACACCUCGUCCGAAAACGUUGGAACGGUACCCUAACCUAACCCCCCUUUCGCCGGCUUAAUCCACCACAGGAUGCACACACACAAACACGGUGGAUUAAUCGAAUCGAUCGGUCGUAACACCAUCCGUCGAUUUCCCACUCAAUUAAAUAAUGCUGGCAUAUUUCCAUCUGCCUAUGCCCCAAGACCACCCCUCUGCUCUGGCGAUGCUUCGGAACCCGUGUGCCCGUGAGUUGCUACAACCGUUGCAGCGGAUUUUAAUUUCAGUUUUUGGCUGAUUUCGUAAUGAAUCCGUACGAGCAGGAAAUUAACGUUAUGUAUUGAUCUUUAAGUUAGAUUCUUGUCUAAGCCUAGUCGAGUAGAGGAUUUAUUUCCCCCUGACAAAUGAAGCAAUAUAAUGCAAUU